This 253-nucleotide ribosomal RNA is filed under the name uncultured bacterium. Its description in RNAcentral is "partial 16S ribosomal RNA". It matches the Rfam family "Bacterial small subunit ribosomal RNA", at positions 524 to 776 of the family's 1533-position model. The record is from RNAcentral.
GACGAAGGGGGCUAGCGUUGUUCGGAAUUACUGGGCGUAAAGCGCGUGUAGGCGGUUGUCCAAGUUGGAUGUGAAAGCCUUGAGCUCAACUCAAGAAAUGCAUUCAGGACUGGAUGACUAGAGGACCGGAGAGGAUAGUGGAAUUCCCAGUGUAGUGGUGAAAUACGUAGAGAUUGGGAAGAACACCAGUGGCGAAGGCGGCUAUCUGGAAGGUUUCUGACGCUAAGACGCGAAAGCGUGGGGAGCAAACAGG